This is a long non-coding RNA of Thalassophryne amazonica, 301 nucleotides long. RefSeq lists it as uncharacterized. NCBI's taxonomy places the organism in Eukaryota, Metazoa, Chordata, Actinopteri, Batrachoidiformes, Batrachoididae. The record is from RefSeq and is a predicted model, not a curated record. The transcript is spliced from 3 exons.
AAAUGUUUCUUCCUCCAUGAAAUUCACAUCUGAUUUAAUGUUACAUGCUAACAGCAUUAGUACUUUUACCAGCUAUCAGUAGCCUGAUCCAUUAAGCCUCGUUCAAUGCACGCUUACUGAAAAAAUAAGCGGCUCAUAACUUUUAAUGUCCACACCAAAUGAAACCGUUAGCAGCACCACCUCAUAAUCCCUGAAAAUAUGAUUUAAUGAACACCUGAACCGAGGUUAGCCUGUUAGUUUAGCUGGUUUGGAGUUGUCGAGAGGGGAACACUGAGCCACUGACGCUUCACUCCUUCAUGUA